UAUUAUAAAGACCAGCCAACGCAGUUCUUGAACCAUUUCACCUGAUGAAAAGAACUUGAAAGCUUGUAUCACAUAUGCAUCACUUCUGCAACAUUAAAGUACAGUAGUCCUAAUACAGUAAAAGACAACAUUUGAGACCUAGGUUAAGAACGAUACUUUGCAAGUACGCAUUGAUUUACUCAUCACAAGCAAGACGUUUCAGGGCAGACAGCGACAUCUGUACACCCAUUAAGAGAGACAGUAACCAGAACCUUUUGUGGUGCAACCUUUUGUGGUAAGGGUGCAACUUGUUACAUACUGUCAAGCCACCUCUGACCUAUGGUGACCCUGUGAAUGAGAGAUCUCCAAAAUGCCCUGUCCUCAAGAACCCUCCUCAGCUCUUGUAA
Molecule: long non-coding RNA, 386 nt
Filed under: Pogona vitticeps (central bearded dragon)
Lineage: Eukaryota; Metazoa; Chordata; Lepidosauria; Squamata; Agamidae
Description: lncRNA (ENSPVIG00000005331.1)
Source: RNAcentral